AAUAUCUCAAAAUGCCUUACUUUUUCUUGUAAAGUGUUUUGGAUUUGGGAGUGAUUGCUGGCUUGUCAGCUCUCCUUAAAAGCAUUUUGGCUGUUCUCUGUUAACUGGUAAUGAUAAUUAUCUAUGCCUGUUAAGAGGGAAGGUGUUAAGCCUCUAAUGGUCCUGUGAUCAGGACAGUACAUUCAA
This 186-nucleotide unclassified non-coding RNA is filed under the name uncultured Amanita. Its description in RNAcentral is "sequence contains ITS2". The record is from RNAcentral. Lineage: Eukaryota; Fungi; Basidiomycota; Agaricomycetes; Agaricales; Amanitaceae.